GACGAACGCUGGCGGCGUGCUUAACACAUGCAAGUCGAACGGAAAGGCCCUGCUUUUGUGGGGUGCUCGAGUGGCGAACGGGUGAGUAACACGUGAGUAACCUGCCCUUGACUUUGGGAUAACUUCAGGAAACUGGGGCUAAUACAGGAUAGGAGAUCCUGCUGCAUGGUGGGGGUUGGAAAGUUUCGGCGGUUGGGGAUGGACUGGCGGCUUAUCAGCUUGUUGGUGGGGUAGUGGCUUACCAAGGCUUUGACGGGUAGCCGGCCUGAGAGGGUGAACGGCGACAUUGGGACUGAGAGACGGCGCAGACUCCUACGGGAGGCAGCAGUGGGGAAUAUUGCACAAUGGGCGGAAGCCUGAUGCAGCAACGCCGCGUGCGGGAUGACGGCCUUCGGGUUGUAAACCGCUUUCGCCUGUGACGAAGCGGGAGUGACGGUAAUGGGUAAAGAAGCACCGGCUAACUACGUG
This 468-nucleotide ribosomal RNA is filed under the name uncultured bacterium. RNAcentral describes it as "partial 16S ribosomal RNA". It matches the Rfam family "Bacterial small subunit ribosomal RNA", at positions 28 to 507 of the family's 1533-position model. The record is from RNAcentral.